GCGCCCAUAGCUCAGUUGGAUAGAGCGUGAGAUUGCGGAUCUCAAGGUCGCAGGUUCAAGUCCUGCUGGGCGUA
This is a non-coding RNA of Candidatus Portnoybacteria bacterium RBG_13_40_8, 74 nucleotides long. NCBI's taxonomy places the organism in Bacteria, Candidatus Portnoyibacteriota. The record is from Rfam.